CCCCCACAGAUUCUUCCUCUCCUUUGGAGCAUCCAAGAGAUCAAGAGAAGAAGAAGUAGUUCAGCCUUCGAAGAUCCUUGCGAGCUAGCACUCUCGAGGAGCCGAUCUGCAAUCGAUCUUUGUGUGGACGAUCUGUAGAGGUCAGACUUCUUCAUGCGGCUACAAGCAACCUGAACGAACUCUCUCCUAUGUGAGAUACUUGUAGAGAUCAGCAACCC
This 218-nucleotide long non-coding RNA is filed under the name Elaeis guineensis (African oil palm). RNAcentral describes it as "long non-coding RNA (EGUI_LNC031078)". The record is from RNAcentral. Lineage: Eukaryota; Viridiplantae; Streptophyta; Magnoliopsida; Arecales; Arecaceae.